UACGGAAGGCAGCAGUGGGGAAUAUUGCACAAUGGGCGCAAGCCUGAUGCAGCCAUGCCGCGUGUAUGAAGAAGGCCUUCGGGUUGUAAAGUACUUUCAGCGGGGAGGAAGGCGAUGCGGUUAAUAACCGCGUCGAUUGACGUUACCCGCAGAAGAAGCACCGGCUAACUCCGUGCCAGCAGCCGCGGUAAUACGGAGGGUGCAAGCGUUAAUCGGAAUUACUGGGCGUAAAGCGCACGCAGGCGGUCUGUUAAGUCAGAUGUGAAAUCCCCGGGCUUAACCUGGGAACUGCAUUUUGAAACUGGCAGGCUUGAGUCUUGUAGAGGGGGUAGAAUUCCAGGUGUAGCGGUGAAAUGCGUAGAGAUCUGGAGGAAUACCGGUGGCGAAGGCGGCCCCUGGGACAAAGACUGACGCUCAGGGUGCGAAAGCGUGGGGAGCGAAACAGGAUUAGAUACC
RNAcentral lists this ribosomal RNA (456 nucleotides) under uncultured bacterium. RNAcentral describes it as "bacterial SSU rRNA". It matches the Rfam family "Bacterial small subunit ribosomal RNA", at positions 340 to 786 of the family's 1533-position model. The record is from RNAcentral.